GGCGAUGGACAGUGGAGGUGAGGUGACAAAUAUGUCCUCGUAACAGAAUUAUCGGGGCGAUGGUCGUAAUUUCAACAAACACGUAACCACAUGCAAUCCUCUGCGUCACUACGGCGGGAAAGCCGGGAUUUCUCGGCUCCGGUUGUACAGCUCCUGGUCCGAUGUCCCACCCCACUUUCUGCUUCCGCUGUAUCUCACCUCAUGUCAAACACACAAUCGACCCAACCAAAAACCAGUUCCCUCGCAGCUGAUCCCCUAAUUCCAUCUUUAGACUGCUCCGAUUGGCUUUAUAUCUUUGUUCGCUGCGUUAUUAUUUUCUGAAAGACGAAAUUACCCUCGAAACAGUAGCCAUGUUUUUCGCUCUCCCGCUGUAAUUCUCGGAGCAGCUUCCAUCCACGGACAGAGAACCAAAGUAGACGCCGGUUUCGUCCGCAACCCAGCGCAACUUUAUGUCGCCGAGCCACAAAAAGUGCUACACGCUCGACUUCAUUAUUCGUGCUAUUAAUCACGAAUCAUGGCGUGCCACGUGCAUGGCUCUAGAAGGAGACGAGAAGGUUUUGAACGUGGGG
Molecule: long non-coding RNA, 569 nt
Filed under: Elaeis guineensis (African oil palm)
Lineage: Eukaryota; Viridiplantae; Streptophyta; Magnoliopsida; Arecales; Arecaceae
Description: long non-coding RNA (EGUI_LNC011875)
Source: RNAcentral